RNAcentral lists this long non-coding RNA (657 nucleotides) under Heterocephalus glaber (naked mole-rat). RNAcentral's name for it is "lncRNA (ENSHGLG00100038132.1)". The record is from RNAcentral. Lineage: Eukaryota; Metazoa; Chordata; Mammalia; Rodentia; Bathyergidae.
AAGGGUCUGGGUGGCUGUGGCUGAGCUCAGCAUGGGGUCACUUACCUGCUGCUCCUGAUAAUUCAUGACCGUCUGCACUGUCCCCUGAGCCCCAGCCUGGCCUGUCCCCAGCCUGCAGCUGGGCAGAUCUUUGCUCCAAAAGCUCAGCAGAGAGUGGCUCCUUACUCGAGGAAUGCAGGCUAGACUCUCCAGAGCUGAUGAUGAAAUGGGCUAUUUCUGCCCAGGGACACCAGCAGGCCCCUGGGUGCUGGCCCCAAGGCACACACCGUCAUGUUUUCAAAGUUUCCCUAGACAAAUGCUUUCCUUCCCACCUUGAGACAUUCUUAUCUGCUUCUACCUGCUCGAAUGGCUGUAGCAGUCACUCUGGAGGAACAUUGGGAUUGUGAGGAGGGUCCAGCUAAUCAGCAAGCAAUUUCUCACUCCCCAAGCUAUCCAUCACCCAGGCUGAUCUGGAUGUAAAAAUAGCUGCUGAGGCUGCUUGUUUAAUCUGACUGUCACUUGACACCACGCUGGUGUCGCCGGGUGGACUGUUUGCCUCUUCCGUCCGCAGUACACUGGUCCCCGCCGGGUCUCUGCCGAGGGGUUUGGGGACACAAGCUGGUGAAAGAGGACAGAAGAGGAGCUGGGAAUCCACCCAAGGCAGGGAUGGGGACCCAG